This 363-nucleotide RNase P RNA is filed under the name Hydrogenophaga sp. RNAcentral's name for it is "RNase P RNA component class A". It matches the Rfam family "Bacterial RNase P class A". Rfam says of the family: Ribonuclease P (RNase P) is a ubiquitous endoribonuclease, found in archaea, bacteria and eukarya as well as chloroplasts and mitochondria. Its best characterised activity is the generation of mature 5'-ends of tRNAs by cleaving the 5'-leader elements of precursor-tRNAs. Cellular RNase Ps are ribonucleoproteins. The record is from RNAcentral. Lineage: Bacteria; Pseudomonadati; Pseudomonadota; Betaproteobacteria; Burkholderiales; Comamonadaceae.
GAAGCGCACCAGGCCGUCGCUGGCACGAUACCCCGAAAGGGAGUGCUGGAGGAACGUCCGGACUGCACAGGACAGCGUAGGAGGUAACACCUCUCCACCGACAAGCCCCGAGAGUUCGCUCGAAGGGCCCUAAGGUGAGGAUCAGAGCAACAGAGACGAGCCGAUUCAGUUCGGGUGAAACGGGCAAUCUCUACGCGCAGCAAUACCAAAUAGGCCAGCGUUGACGUGGUUCCGCGGAGCUGGCGGGUAGGUAGCACCGAGCCGGGUGGGCGACCCCCGGCCCAGAUGAAUGACGGUCACAUGCGGGGCCUUCGCAAGAAGGUUCUGCAUGCACAAAAUCCGGCGUAUCGGCGCGCUUCACAC